Molecule: ribosomal RNA, 301 nt
Filed under: uncultured bacterium
Lineage: Bacteria
Description: partial 16S ribosomal RNA
Rfam family: Bacterial small subunit ribosomal RNA
Source: RNAcentral
CAGUCGCCGCGGUAAUACGUAGGGUGCAAGCGUUAAUCGGAAUUACUGGGCGUAAAGCGUGCGCAGGCGGUUAUUCAAGACAGAUGUGAAAUCCCCGGGCCCAACCUGGGAACUGCAUUUGUGACUGGAUGACUAGAGUACGGCAGAGGGGGAUGGAAUUCCGCGUGUAGCAGUGAAAUGCGUAGAUAUGCGGAGGAACACCGAUGGCGAAGGCAAUCCCCUGGGCCUGUACUGACGCUCAUGCACGAGAGCGUGGGGAGCAAACAGGAUUAGAUACCCCCGUAGUCCCUGUCUCUUAUAC